AUGGUUACAAAGUGAAAGUAACUUGUACAUGUUCUUUUGCAUUAACUUCUUCCCUUACUCUUCACAAUGUGCUUCUGGUUCCUUCCUUUAAACACAGCUUGAUUUCUGUUCACAAGUUGAUAAAACAAUUACACUGUAUAGUUUUGUUUACCUGAACUUCCUGUUUACUUCACAUGAUACAAGACCCUUCUCUGAAGAGGCCUCUGGAUCUUGGUAAAGAGGAAGCUGGCCUAUACAAACUGUCUUGGGUGGCAUCUUCCCCCUCUUCCUCUCCUGGUUCUUCUUUUACUUCUGUGUGUGCUUUGUCUGAUUUUUGUAAUGAUGACAAUGUGUCUGACAGCAAAAUUGUUGCCNNNNNNNNNNNNNNUUACUUCACAUGAUACAGGACCCUUCUCUGAAGAGGCCUCUGGAUCUUGGUAAAGAGGAAGCUGGCCUAUACAAACUGUCUUGGGUGCCACCUUCUCCUUCUUCCUCUCCUGGUUCCUCUUUUACUUCUGUGUGUGCUUUGUCGGAUUUUUGUAAUGAUGACAAUGCGUCUGACAGCAAAACUGUUACUUUGCCUCCAAUUGUAAAUAAUACCAUUUGUAAUAAUGUUGUUACCAAUGAUAUGAAUUACAUUUGGCAUUUAAGACUAGCACAUACUCCUUUUGCUAAUAUGAGACAUAUUUCUAGUUUGUCUUUUCCACUUGCUUCUCAACAACCUUUUCCUUGUUCUGUCUGUCCUAUGGCCAAACAGACUAGACUCCCUUUUCAUGACAGCAGUAUCAGCACUACUAGACCAUUCCAAUUAAUACAUGUGGAUACUUGGGGGCCUUACCACACUUCUACUUCUUCUGUUUAUAAAUACUUCCUUACUAUAGCUGAAGAUUUUUCUAGGGCAACCUGGAACUUAAUGGGAUCUAAAAGCAAUGCCUUUUCCCUGCUUAAGUCUUUCAUCUCUUUUGUUAAAACUCAGUUUAACACUGUGGUCCAAACUGUUAGAAGUGACAAUGCCUUAGAAUUGGGAUCCAGCAUUGAGGGCAUAUCUUUCUUUAGUAGCCAGGGGAUUAUU
Molecule: long non-coding RNA, 1051 nt
Filed under: Nicotiana benthamiana
Lineage: Eukaryota; Viridiplantae; Streptophyta; Magnoliopsida; Solanales; Solanaceae
Description: long non-coding RNA (NBEN_LNC012988)
Source: RNAcentral